GCUGAUAUGGCUCAGAUGGUAGAGCACAUCCUUGGUAAGGAUGAGGUCACCGGUUCGAUUCCGGUUAUCAGCUCCA
RNAcentral lists this transfer RNA (76 nucleotides) under Clostridiales bacterium. RNAcentral describes it as "tRNA-Thr". It matches the Rfam family "tRNA". From Rfam's summary of the family: Transfer RNA (tRNA) molecules are approximately 80 nucleotides in length. Their secondary structure includes four short double-helical elements and three loops (D, anti-codon, and T loops). Further hydrogen bonds mediate the characteristic L-shaped molecular structure. tRNAs have two regions of fundamental functional importance: the anti-codon, which is responsible for specific mRNA codon recognition, and the 3' end, to which the tRNAs corresponding amino acid is attached (by aminoacyl-tRNA synthetases). tRNAs cope with the degeneracy of the genetic code in two manners: having more than one tRNA (with a specific anti-codon) for a particular amino acid; and 'wobble' base-pairing, i.e. permitting non-standard base-pairing at the 3rd anti-codon position. Lineage: Bacteria; Bacillati; Bacillota; Clostridia; Eubacteriales. The record is from RNAcentral.